Molecule: ribosomal RNA, 253 nt
Filed under: uncultured bacterium
Lineage: Bacteria
Description: partial 16S ribosomal RNA
Rfam family: Bacterial small subunit ribosomal RNA
Source: RNAcentral
UACGUAGGAUCCAAGCGUUGCCCGGAUUUACUGGGUGUAAAGCGCGCGUAGGCGGACCUGCAAGUCGGGGGUGAAAGCCCGAGGCUCAACCUCGGAACUGCCUUCGAUACUGCGGGUCUCGAGUCCGGGAGAGGUGAGUGGAAUUCCUAGUGUAGAGGUGAAAUUCGUAGAUAUUAGGAAGAACACCAGUGGCGAAGGCGGCUCACUGGCCCGGUACUGACGCUGAGGCGCGAAAGCGUGGGGAGCAAACAGG